CAGGAGGUCCCUCUGCCCCAGAAGGACCCUCAGCCACCUCAUCAGUUGUUUGCCCUUCUCAUUCCAGAGCCCCACCCCUGCUGUAGAAGGUGCCAGUCCUACUUGUCACAGGAGGAGGUGGAACCUUCCUCCUGGUAUGUGCAGUUAGUUACCUGGUUCUAUCCUUCCCCUGUAAGAGACCCCUGACUGACAAUCCCCCCACUCAUCACUCUGCUGGGUUCUAAGUCCACCUGCUUUGAGUUCUGAAUCCACCUGCUUUGGGCUCUGAAUCCAUCUGCCUUGUGUGGGAACUCAGUACAUCACUCCGGAUGUCCAGAGCUACCGAGACAACCCUUGGGGGGCUCGGAGGCCCUGGAAUGUUGCCAAAAGUACCUGGUGGCUUGACUUUGAUCCUUUUAAAGAAAUGACACCUGAAGAGACAGGGAGGUGAUCACUCUACUCCACCCCAGGCCUGUCAGGCUCAGCCGUGUCCAGCUCUGGUCCCCACAGCUGGGAGGGACACAGACAGACUGGAGAGGAUCCCAAGGAGCACCACAAAGGUGGUCAAGGCCUGGAGACCCCUGAGGAGGAAGGAGUAAAGAGUGAGAUCUCCUCUCUGGGGUGAAGAGAAGGCUCAGGGGCAGUACCAUCACAGUAUUCCAGAACUUCAAGGGCUGCAGGAAGAGGACAGAAGUCUUUCCUCACAAGGAGCCACAGUAAGAAGACCAAGGGUAACAGACACCAGUUGUACUGAAACAGGUUUUAUUUUCUUAGUAAAUUUUUGUUUGUUUCAGUAAGAACAGUGAUCCAGUGAAACAACUUCCCCAGGGACAUGGUGGAGUCUGAAUCAAUGCAGGUUUUUUGAGAUGAGAUUGAAAUCCCCUGUGUGCCACCAGGGCAGUGCUACAGAAUUGUUCCUUGGGGGAAAAUGUUUUGAAAGGAAAGGUAAAAUGAGCUAUAUUUGUAUCAGCUAAUACAGGUAUGACAGAGCUGCUGGAUUUGCUAACAGAACUAUAUUAUAUAUUCUUGCUGCUUCAGAGUAUCAGCACUCAAAACCAACAAAACACUUCAUGUCAAAAAUCAGGAGGUUUGUUUUUUAUGACUAGCAUGCUAUUAAAGCAAUUUAACUACAAUAUAAUUAUCCCUGUUAUUGUUUCCAAUCAGAAAAGCUUAUCAAGUUGAAAGCUGAAAACAUUUCAAGACUUUCUAAAAGGGUUUUGUUUCCCUUUGGUUUGUCAGCAGUGCUUGAUUUCCUUUGCUGUAAAACAAUCAUUUAACCAAAAUAUGGAGUACUAUCUCCAUGUAAGAAAAACAGUUCAUUUGUUAUUGUUGUUUUUAAUUAAUGUUAAAUACAUGCAAUUAAAAUACUCUCAUUAAUUUCGAAGUUAAUAAAUUUCUCAGCUUCUUUCAAAAGCUGCUUUUAUCUUGUAUUUUCUUUUGUUUGCUAAACUUUGAAACAUUAGAGGCUUUUAGCAGUGAUUGCAAUGUUUAUAUACUUCAAAAGACAAAUGCUGUACAGGAUCAGAAGCAAUCAGACAUCUCCUUAGGCUACAUAAAAACCUAAAAGAAGAAUGUUCACUGUAAAAUGUAAAUCUCCAACGGUACAAAGAGCACCGAAACAAAUCCUAACCAGUUCAAAAAUGCGGGUUCCUUUUGUAUCCAUCAAGGAAUGAGAAUACUGCUUUAUACAAUUAUGUGACAAAACUGGGAAUAAGGUUUUAUUGAAAUGAAAAUAACAUGGCACGGUAUAGCUAAGACAUUAAAUGCUGAAAAUUUAAUAGUAAUUAAAUUUGCAAAAAAUUAUUAAGAGAAAUCAAGAGAGCACUUUAAGAUGUUCCCCUACUUACACAUUUCUUCAAUUUAUCCUUUAAUUAAUUUUUAAUAAUUUUUUAAUUUCUUAUCCUUUCUCUUUUGAAAUGUAAGUAAUGCUGCAGCAAAGUUACACUGAGCCAAACUGCCAGAUCAUCAUCCCUGCUCUGCACAUCCCAACUGUUCCUCUUUCAGCUGCUUAAUGAAAAUACACAUCCCCAUAAACCCAACUGGAAAAUGUGCAUGUUCUUCUCAGGGUGAGGGAUUUCACCUUCCUCAUAACCAGGUCCUCAGCAGGGGCACAGCCCAUUUUUGUUGGAAAGAGGAAACCACAGAGAUUCUCGGAGAACUGGCCCUGCAGGCAGGCACAGUCCAGAUGAACAGGGAGCCAAGAUAAAACAUCCUGCAAAUUUCUGAAUUUUUUACAAUCAGCUCUGUUCCACAACCACACAAAUCUUUUUUUGUGCUGACAGUGAUGCCUCUGGUAAAAGUUAUUGUGCAUGUGAUAGGCACAAAAGCCACAAAAAUAACUACCAAUAUUUGUAACUUAAUCCAGGAUUUAAACAAAUUUCUAAUCUUUUUACAAUGGCACAAUUACUGCACUGAAAGGCUUUAUAAUCUUUAUAAAAAGAAAAUUACUGAUUUUCCUAACAGGGUUUAAAAACUUUUUCUUGGUGGACCUGUCCCUGAGUAAAAGGGACCAAUCAGACAGUUCAUCACUCUGAGUUUAUGUUAAAUCAGAAUAGGAAAAGGAAAAACCACAACAGUGCAUUUUCCUCAGGACACUGAAACAGUGCUGGCUGCCAAGCAGAGCGUGUCAGAACUAAGUUUUGCCUGAAUUCUCUUUUGUUUGAGAAGGAAAUAAAACUAGUUUAUCUCUUCUGAAAAAUCAAUAUUACCAUCUAUGAGACUUGAUUCCUCUUUUGAAUAUGAAACUGUGCCCCAGACGAAAAAAGAUUUGUUCCUUCAGGACUUGAGGCUAAAAGACUGGUUAUCUCAAAUAAAAUACAGCAAUGUUCAGGUUUCCUUCACCCCAGAAGAUUCUCUAAUUUAACAAAAAAAAAAGAAAAUACUGUAAAUUACUCUUACCUAUUUUCUUAUUUCGUUCUUCCCCACGACUGUGUGCAAUAAUUGGAGAAUAUAUGAAGGGGCUUUUGGUUGACACAUUCUGACCAAGUAAACUUUUCAUUUUGUGGGGUCGGAGACUGGUUGGGAGGUUCAAGAGCUUCACAGAUCUGUUGAGUAAAAAUAAUUCCUAAUUAUUUCAUUUAUUCUAUUUUGUAACAGGUGACUGUGUUAUAAAAAGAACUGAUAAAUAUGAAAUAUCAGUCUGAGAAUAAAAUACCUGAAUUGGAACACCUGAAGCAAACAUUUACCAUAAAGGAAAUAACACCAACCCAAAGAAACUGCAGUUUCAGAAAGCUCUCAGAAAACAAAUAACAAAGGGAAAAAAAUCUUAUUUAGAAACAAAACCAAAACUAGCCAGAACAGUAAUUUGAAAUCCAGCUAUUAAUUUUUGAGUGCAGACUGAACCACAACUCCAGUGCAGAAAGCAGCCAAAUAUUUAACUUAAACCCAAAUUAAAAUCCAGACAAGAUUUCACUGGGCAACACAAAUAAAGAAACUUCUCCACAGUGAAUAAAGCUGAUUUUAAUACAGUGAAAAUGCAGAGUAGCUGCUGGAAAGAAGAAAAUGUCCCAGAACUUUGAGUGGGUUUGUUAAACAACCAGAAAGCAAUUACAAAUAGAAAACAAAUGAUUUAUUAGAUUGCAUCCCUGCUAGACCCAAUUCCCUACCAUGCCAUGCAGGGAAAUCAAUGCUCUUCCAGUGCUCAGGGGAAAGUAAAGACUAAAUUUUGGGCAGAAGAACAAGCAAUAAAUUGGUGGAUAUUCAGUAAAAUCAGCAGCAUUCUAUAAACCUGUAGGACACCUAAUUACUUCAAAUCAGGAACUCAGCACAGCAAAGAACAGAUAUCUCAGUAUCACACUAAUAGAAAGGAGACACACACAAGAACCAAGAUAAUGUGUUCUACUGAAAAAUAAUGAAGCUAUAAGAGUGGCACUACACAGACAAGUUCUCUCUGUGAAACAAAACACCUGAUAAGAAAUUACUAAAUAACACUAAAAGUAGGUUGAACAGGAAAUAAAUCACAUCCAUAUGUUACAUACUGGUGAUACUUAGUGUCAGUAUCAAAAUCAUAUGUAAAAUCACAGACACUGAGUCUGAGGAAUAAGAAGGAAACUGUAAGAGACCCCUGAUAUUUCAUAUUUUAAAACCUCUUCUGAUAGAGUUUUUUACAAAUUAGAAUGUAACUUAAAACAAAAAUGUGAAUUAUAUUUAUUUGAGGAAACAAACACUGAAUUUGAUAGAGAGGUAAUAAAAAGGAAUUUUAUUUUAUACACAGAGGAAAGUGCUUUGGCUCCUUCAUGGUUAUUACAUAAAUACUGGUGGAAAACCUGGUUUGCCUGAAUAGAUGACAGUGGAAGGAAUGUUCCUGAAAGACAUAUCAGAGAGCUGUACCCUCACAGAAAUUUUAACAGACAAGAAGGAGGAGGAGAUGAGCAGCAGCUCUUAAAUGUUAAAUAAAUUUGAUGCUGGGUUCCUCACUUAAAUGUUAAAUAAAGUUGAUGCUGGCAAAGUUGCCCCAUGGCAAAAUUGAAGGAGCUAUUUCCAACAUUCCAAGCACAGCCAGGUGAAGACAAGUAGAUAAUGCUUCAGCCUGAACAAGUUAUUAUUCACUGGCCUGACUGCUUGAUGUGCCUGAAUGGAACUGAGAUUUAGAACAGGCCAGUGAAGGUGCCAGUGUGACAAUGCAGCAUCUGGAAAGGGAGAGGUACAAAAAGCACCAUUUCCAGGUGAGUUCCAGGCUCUGUGGAUGGAGACUGCAUCCAACUCGUGGACCUUCAGUAUUGAAAAAAUCAAGUAUUCAACUAAAAUCUCAGCUGCAGCAAAAUAGCUUCCUUCAGUUGAAUAAAAAACUGUUGAAGGACAGUUCUUCAAAAAACAAAACUCCUCUCUUUCUGAAACUAAAGGUCACAAAGUAUUUUCUGGUCAAAGGCUCUAUUUUUGAUCAAGAGCUUCUCAAAACAAUUUGACAUUUUGACAUUUUUCCAUGUUCCUGUGAUCCACAUGCAUAAAGUGAGAUGACUGCAUCCUUUCAGUAUCCUUUAAAAUUUGACAGGUACUGUGAAAAAGUUAAAGAUUGUGUUUUGGUCUUACUUCACAAUAGGCAAUU
Passer domesticus (house sparrow) is the source of this 5023-nucleotide long non-coding RNA. RefSeq lists it as uncharacterized. The transcript is spliced from 4 exons. NCBI's taxonomy places the organism in Eukaryota, Metazoa, Chordata, Aves, Passeriformes, Passeridae. The record is from RefSeq and is a predicted model, not a curated record.